This is a long non-coding RNA of Chinchilla lanigera (long-tailed chinchilla), 397 nucleotides long. RefSeq lists it as uncharacterized. The transcript is spliced from 3 exons. The record is from RefSeq and is a predicted model, not a curated record. Lineage: Eukaryota; Metazoa; Chordata; Mammalia; Rodentia; Chinchillidae.
AUUCCAUGAGGGAAGGGUCCUUGUAUAGCUGACCAGGUUGUAUCUAUGACCGUCCUGUAGAAAGGUGUAAGGCUGGAGUUUCAGGUUGUGAGUGUUAAGAGGAACCUGGAAUAGAAGAUGGCUCUCCAGCAAGUAAAGAUGUGGUAUAAGCAGUCUGCCUCUUGGGCCACAGAACCUAGAAGAUUACAUGGACUCAUACAUACAAGAGCUGAUGAAGAUCUGUGUAGAAUUGUUGGUAAGUUCCCCAGGGAGUCUUAAUGCAAAAUUUUAAGAUUCUGGAGCAAGACUAUGCUAAGUGCAACAAAGAAAAAUAUUUCAAAAAUUAGUCCUGGUUCCCCAGUAGAGACUGAGCAAGUCUCCAUACAAUAUGAAAGGAUAGUGUACUAAAGCAGCCCAU